This 550-nucleotide ribosomal RNA is filed under the name Funneliformis mosseae. RNAcentral describes it as "SSU rRNA". It matches the Rfam family "Eukaryotic small subunit ribosomal RNA", at positions 548 to 1098 of the family's 1831-position model. The record is from RNAcentral. RNAcentral also lists the same sequence under 1 other name. Lineage: Eukaryota; Fungi; Glomeromycota; Glomeromycetes; Glomerales; Glomeraceae.
UUGGAGGGCAAGUCUGGUGCCAGCAGCCGCGGUAAUUCCAGCUCCAAUAGCGUAUAUUAAAGUUGUUGCAGUUAAAAAGCUCGUAGUUGAAUUUCGGGAUCAAUAUUUCGGUCAUGCCGUUGGUAUGCACUGUUAUCAUUGAUUUCUCACCUUCUAAAGAACCGUAAUGCCAUUAAUUUGGUGUUACGGGAAAUUAGGACUGUUACCUUGAAAAAAUUAGAGUGUUUAAAGCAGGCUCACGCUUGAAUACAUUAGCAUGGAAUAAUGAAAUAGGACAUCCGAUUCUAUUUUGUUGGUUUCUAGGAUCGAUGUAAUGAUUAAUAGGGAUAGUUGGGGGCAUUAGUAUUCAAUUGUCAGAGGUGAAAUUCUUGGAUUUAUUGAAGACUAACUACUGCGAAAGCAUUUGCCAAGGAUGUUUUCAUUAAUCAAGAACGAAAGUUAGGGGAUCGAAGACGAUCAGAUACCGUCGUAGUCUUAACCAUAAACUAUGCCGACUAGGGAUCGGAUGAUGUUAAUUUUUUAAUGACUCAUUCGGCGCCUUACGGGAAAC